Molecule: long non-coding RNA, 674 nt
Organism: Hippocampus zosterae (dwarf seahorse)
Lineage: Eukaryota; Metazoa; Chordata; Actinopteri; Syngnathiformes; Syngnathidae
Exons: 3
Source: RefSeq, a predicted model, not a curated record
CCCAACACCCCCUUACACUGAAACAGCGACGACAGCGUACAAUCCGGCGGGUUGACGCGCUCUGGCACUGGACGGCGGGCACAUCUGCUCUGAUUAAUCACCUGCUUCGCCUCGCGCAUACAUUUCAUUAUCGGCUUUAAGUGGGCGCAAACAACGAGGCUUUGAGGCGAACGAGCUGUGACGAGAGGGAAGAUGAAAGGUGGCAGAAAUGAGAGUCAUUUAUCAGUCCACUGUCAAUGGAACCAAGUGAGGCACUGACCCUGAUCCAACCCCGAGAUUCACUCUUGGUGGGUUGAACAUUUUCCGAGCUGGUCGCGAGUGAGACGUUGCAACUCUGACUUUGCCUUCCCUCUGAAAAGUGAAGUACAGCAAAUCAUAGCAUAGCAAGCAAACAGGCAGCUGACAUCUGACCUGCCUGCGAGCUGACUGCGGGCUUCUAUCUGUGUCCCUCCAGACGUGACCGGGCCGUGCCCAGCCUGGUCGGGCAUGAAGCUGAGAGAGUGCCAGCCAAUGUCAUGCCAAGCCGGCGCUCCAGCAUUCCCGACUAGGCAUCAUCUCAUAAACAGAACGCUCUUCCAAACGAGUGUCGACUGGGCGGAUGGAUGAGCUGCCAAAAAGCUGCUCAAUCAAGAUGCCCGGCGUCCAGCUUUGCUCCUCUCGACACAAGAACCCAC